Molecule: ribosomal RNA, 253 nt
Filed under: uncultured bacterium
Lineage: Bacteria
Description: partial 16S ribosomal RNA
Rfam family: Bacterial small subunit ribosomal RNA
Source: RNAcentral
CACGUAGGAGGCGAGCGUUGUCCGGAAUCAUUGGGCGUAAAGAGCGCGCAGGCGGCUUGGCAAGUCGGGUGUGAAAUCCCGGGGCUCAACCCCGGGACUGCAUUCGAUACUGUCAGGCUAGAGGUAGGUAGGGGAGAUCGGAAUUCCUGGUGUAGCGGUGAAAUGCGCAGAUAUCAGGAGGAACACCGGUGGCGAAGGCAGCUCGCUGGGACGUUACUGACGCUGAGACGCGAAAGCGUGGGGAGCAAACAGG